This 477-nucleotide long non-coding RNA is filed under the name Fukomys damarensis (Damara mole-rat). Its description in RNAcentral is "lncRNA (ENSFDAG00000027348.1)". Lineage: Eukaryota; Metazoa; Chordata; Mammalia; Rodentia; Bathyergidae. The record is from RNAcentral.
GGGGCCAAGAAUUGCCGGCGGCCGGGUUGAUGCAGCGUUGGCGCCCCCUCCUGCCCCGGGGAGGAAUAGCAGACUACCUGUGCCAGUUUGUUCAUUCAUCAUUGGCAUGUUUGUGUUGUGACGGCUGGACCACUACAAGUGGCACCCUGAGUAUCGAGGGAUCCAGUGAAGGACACCACUGGAUAAAGAAUAAAAGGAGAUCUCGACAAAAAGAAAAAAAGAGGACCUUCAAAAGGAAGGCAAAAGAGGAGCGGUGAGUUUUCUUGUAAAUAUUAAAAGUGGGAGCUGGCAAUAGUUGCAUGCUUUUUGUACAUAUGCUUAAAGAUUUAUUGUGUUGGUGGUGCUAGAGUAGGGCACCACCUAAAAAUUGUGUAAUUUUUUAGAAUUUGUAGAAAUAGUUUGUCUUUGGUUUCCUUUUUCUUUGCUUCUGUGUCUUUCUCUUCCUGUUAAUGUCUGAAUUGGUAGUUUGUGAUCCGG